Molecule: ribosomal RNA, 798 nt
Filed under: uncultured bacterium
Lineage: Bacteria
Description: bacterial SSU rRNA
Rfam family: Bacterial small subunit ribosomal RNA
Source: RNAcentral
AGCACAGGUAGCAAUACCGGGUGGCGACCGGCGCACGGGUGAGUAACGCGUAUGCAACUUACCUAUCAGAGGGGGAUAACCCGGCGAAAGUCGGACUAAUACCGCAUGAAGCAGGGGCCCCGCAUGGGGAUAUUUGCUAAAGAUUCAUCGCUGAUAGAUAGGCAUGCGUUCCAUUAGGCAGUUGGCGGGGUAACGGCCCACCAAACCGACGAUGGAUAGGGGUUCUGAGAGGAAGGUCCCCCACAUUGGUACUGAGACACGGACCAAACUCCUACGGGAGGCAGCAGUGAGGAAUAUUGGUCAAUGGGCGUAAGCCUGAACCAGCCAAGUCGCGUGAGGGAUGAAGGUUCUAUGGAUCGUAAACCUCUUUUAUAAGGGAAUAAAGUGCGGGACGUGUCCCGUUUUGUAUGUACCUUAUGAAUAAGGAUCGGCUAACUCCGUGCCAGCAGCCGCGGUAAUACGGAGGAUCCGAGCGUUAUCCGGAUUUAUUGGGUUUAAAGGGUGCGUAGGCGGCCUUUUAAGUCAGCGGUGAAAGUCUGUGGCUCAACCAUAGAAUUGCCGUUGAAACUGGGGGGCUUGAGUAUGUUUGAGGCAGGCGGAAUGCGUGGUGUAGCGGUGAAAUGCUUAGAUAUCACGCAGAACCCCGAUUGCGAAGGCAGCCUGCCAAGCCAUGACUGACGCUGAUGCACGAAAGCGUGGGGAUCAAACAGGAUUAGAUACCCUGGUAGUCCACGCAGUAAACGAUGACCACUAGCUGUUUGCGAUACAGUGUAAGCGGCACAGCGAAAGCGUUAAGUG